GAUGAACGCUGGCGGCGUGCUUAACACAUGCAAGUCGAACGGAAAGGCCCAAGCUUGCUUGGGUACUCGAGUGGCGAACGGGUGAGUAACACGUGGGUGAUCUGCCCUGCACUUCGGGAUAAGCCUGGGAAACUGGGUCUAAUACCGGAUAGGACCACUUCUUGGAUGUUGUGGUGGAAAGUUUUUUCGGUGUGGGAUGAGCUCGCGGCCUAUCAGCUUGUUGGUGGGGUAAUGGCCUACCAAGGCGUCGACGGGUAGCCGGCCUGAGAGGGUGUGCGGCCACAUUGGGACUGAGAGACGGCCCAGACGCCUACGGGUGGCAGCAGUGGGGAAGAUUGCACAAUGGGCGCAAGGCUGAUGCAGCGACGCCGCGUGGGGGAUGACGGCCUUGGGGUUGAAAACUCCUUUCGCUAGGGACGAAGCGUUUUGUGACGGUACCUGGAGAAGAAGCACCGGCUAACUACGUG
Molecule: ribosomal RNA, 467 nt
Filed under: uncultured bacterium
Lineage: Bacteria
Description: partial 16S ribosomal RNA
Rfam family: Bacterial small subunit ribosomal RNA
Source: RNAcentral